This 1760-nucleotide long non-coding RNA is filed under the name Heterocephalus glaber (naked mole-rat). RNAcentral's name for it is "lncRNA (ENSHGLG00100044999.1)". The record is from RNAcentral. Lineage: Eukaryota; Metazoa; Chordata; Mammalia; Rodentia; Bathyergidae.
CUGGGACUCCUGUGUCCUGGGCCAGGCUUGGGCGCCAGCCUGGGAGCCUCCAGCCCAUCUAGCAGGGAGCUGCAAAGCCAGCCCGCAUCAGAGCAGCCUCAGCCACGGCCGGUGAGGGAGGUGCAGAUGUUCAGGUCAUGCGGGAAAUCUAAUCGCAUCAGGAACGACAGGUCUGACUGAUGAACACCUGAUGAACAUCUAAUGACAAAGGCUCAAGUUACCCACUAAGCAACUGCGACCUUCUUGGUGCCAGCAAAGCUCUGCAUGGCUGGUCUUGAGACAAUGGCCUGAGGUAAUGAUCAGGCAGAUGAUACCAGACUGAUAACCAUGGACUAGAACUGGUAACCAUGGAAAUGCCACAACCCUGCCUUUGUUCCCUUCCCUAUAUAACUCAGAGACUGCUGUGGCCAUUUUGAAGACAGAUCUUAGGUUGCUCAACCUCAGUCCUACCUGUGUGGCCACACUGUGAAAAAGCUCUUUCCUGCCUUCCUGACCACUUAUUUCUCCAGUUGGCUUCCUGAGUGGAUGGCCACGCUGAGCUCACUGGGACCCCAGGAGCCAGAGCCUGCUCCCUAACUCCAGUAACACAACCUCCAAGAUCUCAGUGGUCUCCAAUUAGAUUGUGUCCCUCUCACCCAGACCUGCAACACUUGACUCUUCUGUUCUCAAGAAAAAGAGCAGGGAGGACAAUAACAGAUUUACGUGGAAUAGUCAUUUUGUAAAUGAUUAUUUGCAUAUCUGUCUCACCAGGAUGAGCCUGCUGGCCUUGUGUAUUCUCUACCCUCCCUUCAUCCAGGAAGCAGAGGGGUCCAGGCUGCCUCCCCUAAACACCAAUAUGCCCAUCUCAAGGGCCAUUGAGGUAAACUAGGAGUUAUAGAACUGUGCUAAAUUUUAUCUAUAAAGGUCUUUACCAAAUAUUGACUCAGAAAGAAAGGACUCCACCUGCCCGCGUAAUUAAGGGAAGGCACCCUGGAGGAGAUGGCACUUGAGUUGUAUGUUGAAGGGUGACAACAGUUCUUAGCAUUUAAAGAUUUCUCUGUGUUAACAUUUUACUAUUGAUUUAUAGCUUUUCAUGUAUACUGAAAAUUCUACACCACCCAGCUUGUAAAAUUCUAUUCAUUAAGUUCUGGGGUCAAGUUCUAGCUGUUGAAAAGAUGACAAAAGAAUAGAAGAUAUGGAGCCCACAGUUUUCUUGACUGAGGGCAUACUGACAGGUGCAACAGUUAGAUAAGCUUUCAGGGUGGCUGGUUUGCUGAGUGCUAGACUAGGGACUGUGACUGUCUCUCUGCUCAGUCCCUCGCUCUUGGAUACUGUGCUUGGCAUUCAGUCAGUUCUCAGGAAAGUACGGAGGAACAAUGAGUGCUUAGCACUGGAAGAUCUGAAUUGGGUCUGGAGGGAAGGGCUGUUUCUGGAUAUGACAGAAGGAAAGGAUACACUUUUGCAUUACUUCAUCAGUUAUGGUUCAUAUCUAAAAUGUUCCCCAAAGCCUCAUGCAUUCCCAGGCAAGGCUUUUGGGAGGGAAUGGACCAUGGGUGUAUGAUACUGGGUGACACUGGAUCAGUCCACUGAUUGGAUCGGCAUGGCUGAAUGGAUUUACUGAAGACAGGAGACCCACCCUAGGGGUGAGUGGCACCAAGCAAUAGGCUGGUAGCCUGCAUGGAAUAAAAAGGGAAAGGGAGGCUCGCUUCUGCUGCUGCUUUUUUCUGCUGCCCCACCUUGGAGCCAGCUGACUCUGGACUGAAACCUCUACAAAUUGUGAG